RNAcentral lists this ribosomal RNA (79 nucleotides) under Periophthalmus magnuspinnatus. Lineage: Eukaryota; Metazoa; Chordata; Actinopteri; Gobiiformes; Gobiidae. The record is from RNAcentral.
UUAUUAAGCCAUACAGGCUGGUCAAAGCCUGCUCUCGUCAGAUCUCAGAAGCUAAGCAGGGCUUGGCCUGGUUAAUACA